This 400-nucleotide ribosomal RNA is filed under the name uncultured bacterium. RNAcentral describes it as "bacterial SSU rRNA". It matches the Rfam family "Bacterial small subunit ribosomal RNA", at positions 355 to 747 of the family's 1533-position model. The record is from RNAcentral.
UGGGGAAUAUUGCACAAUGGGCGCAAGCCUGAUGCAGCGACGCCGCGUGGAGGAAGAAGGUCUUCGGAUUGUAAACUCCUGUUGAGUGGGAAGAAAGACGGCUGGUUAAUACCCAGUUGGGAUGACGGUACCACUCGAGGAAGCACCGGCAAACUUCGUGCCAGCAGCCGCGGUAAUACGAAGGGUGCGAGCGUUAUUCGGAGUUAUUGGGCGUAAAGGGCGCGUAGGCGGUCCACUAAGUCAGCUGUUAAAGACCUCGGCUUAACCGAGGAAAAGCAGGUGGUACUGGAGGGCUAGAGGACAGAAGAGAGAAGUGGAAUUCUCGGAGUAGCGGUAAAAUGCGUAGAUCUCGAGAGGAACACCGAUGGCGAAGGCAGCUUCUUGGUCUGUAACUGACGCU